AGGGAAUCUUCCGCAAUGGACGCAAGUCUGACGGAGCAACGCCGCGUGAGCGAAGAAGGUCUUCGGAUCGUAAAGCUCUGUUGUAAGGGAAGAACAAGUACCAGAGUAACUGCUGGUACCUUGACGGUACCUUACCAGAAAGCCACGGCUAACUACGUGCCAGCAGCCGCGGUAAUACGUAGGUGGCAAGCGUUGUCCGGAAUUAUUGGGCGUAAAGCGCGCGCAGGCGGUCUCUUAAGUCUGAUGUGAAAGCCCCCGGCUCAACCGGGGAGGGUCAUUGGAAACUGGGAGACUUGAGUGCAGAAGAGAAGAGUGGAAUUCCACGUGUAGCGGUGAAAUGCGUAGAGAUGUGGAGGAACACCAGUGGCGAAGGCGACUCUUUGGUCUGUAACUGACGCUGAGGCGCGAAAGCGUGGGGAGCAAAC
Molecule: ribosomal RNA, 425 nt
Filed under: uncultured bacterium
Lineage: Bacteria
Description: bacterial SSU rRNA
Rfam family: Bacterial small subunit ribosomal RNA
Source: RNAcentral